AUACGGAGGAUGCGAGCGUUAUCCGGAUUUAUUGGGUUUAAAGGGUGCGCAGGCGGGCGAUUAAGUCAGCGGUGAAAGGCUCGGGCUCAACCGGAGCAGUGCCGUUGAUACUGGUUGUCUUGAAUGCGGUCAAGGCCGGCGGAAUGUGGCGUGUAGCGGUGAAAUGCAUAGAUAUGCCACAGAACACCGAUAGCGAAGGCAGCUGGCCGGGACUGCAUUGACGCUGAGGCACGAAAGCGUGGGGAUCGAACAGGAUUAGAUACCCUGGUAGUCCACACUGUAAACGAUGGACACUCGUUGUCGGCGACAGACAGUCGGCGGCCAAGCGAAAGUGAUAAGUGUCCCGCCUGGGGAGUACGGUCGCAAGGCUGAAACUCAAAUGAAUUGACGGGG
This 393-nucleotide ribosomal RNA is filed under the name uncultured bacterium. RNAcentral describes it as "partial 16S ribosomal RNA". It matches the Rfam family "Bacterial small subunit ribosomal RNA", at positions 523 to 918 of the family's 1533-position model. The record is from RNAcentral.